UUCAAUUAACUUUCCUUGCAUUAGUACCUUGUUCGAACCAUUUUUUAUUUACUGAUUUCCAAGAAAAAAAAAACCUUAGAUAAAUCAGUUUCCGGAACGAUUAUUCCAUAUGUGACGUUAAAAUGGAAUUCGACCCGUAAACCCUUAUCAGUAUUUCACACACAGUCAAGGUUGUAUAAUAAGGUUGUUUACUCUCGAUGCGCUGCAUUGUACGGAAAAUGUCGUCUCCUAAGCUGAUAGAUAGACAAAAUCUGUCAUGACGUCACUAUCGAAUCUUUAUUCAGUGACGACAUAUGAUGUGUUUUUAUCUAUCUAACUUAAAAGACGACAUUUUCCGUACAUUGGAGCAUUUGAGGGCAUCAAGAAAAACUAACUGUUACAUCGUUAUUGUUUAUUAUUCUAAACAACUGCAGGGUCUAAAUUGAUCCAAAAAAAAAAUGGAAACCAUUAUUUGAAUUAUAUUUUUCAGGUUUAAAGGAAUAUGUGGAAUAAAGGAUUAAAGAUUGUGGGUUCCCUAUUAUUCUUUAGUUGUAUUUUAAUCUUUACUCUAGAAGCAGGUUAUAACGAAUGGUUUAUUGAAUGGUAUAGAAUGAAGGUAUAUUUGGUUGAUUCUGAUUGCAAAGUUUCAGAUCCCAGAGUAAAUUUAACAAGACUCAACAUUUCCCAAACCAACCCUAGAACAGCUGUGAUUGGAGGGAAUGUUCUCGAUGUAAAUUUUAACAUUACAAUGGAACCUGAAGAAGAGUAUUGUGUACCAAAAAUUCUGAACUUUAUUUGGUUUGGUGACAUUAUUCCGGUUAAAUACCAAGAUAACAUUAUUAGGUUGCUGUAUAUAGGAUGAUGCUUUAAUGACGACCUGAAACUCUAAAAAUAUAAAGGUCAGACUCUGGACUGAAAAUAUUACUGAAGAAUUGAGAACAAAUAUAUCUUUAAUCAAAAUUUUUGAUAUAAAUGAGUACAUAUCAGAGUUUGAAACGUAUGAGGUGUUAAAAAACGAGAGCAACAAGGGGGCAAAAUCAGAUAUUCUNAUACCAGGUAAAAUCAGAUAUUCUCAGAAACCAGGUAAAAUCAGAUAUUCUCAGAUACCAGGAAAAAUCAGAUAUUUUCCUGAAAUCAACUUAACAAUAUCAUAUUAUCUAGAUAAUUUACAGAAAUGGAGGCGUUUAUUUUGACACUGAUUCAAUUUGUGUGAAACCCCUGCUUGAUUUAUUGAUUGCUAGUUUUGUUAUUUUAUCCCCCUCACCCUGGAAUAAUAUUUCAAAUGGUGCACUGGGCUUUCCUAAGGGAUCUCGGUUCUUAAAAUAUGUACUGGAUGCUUUAAAACUUAACAUAAAAAAGGACCCUGAAGCUUACAUUCCAUAUAGAACUGGUCCUGCUUUCUUUUCUGGAUGUUUUAGAAACUACAAUGACUCUGUUAUCAAUAUGAUAUGUUUAGAGAAACUACAAUGACUCUGUUACCAAUAUAAUAUGUU
This 1472-nucleotide unclassified non-coding RNA is filed under the name Eurytemora carolleeae. RNAcentral describes it as "uncharacterized LOC111706949". The record is from RNAcentral. Lineage: Eukaryota; Metazoa; Arthropoda; Copepoda; Calanoida; Temoridae.